AAUCAACAAGAAGCAGCUCAUCAAGAACCAUGUUCAAUAGUAUACAGACAGUAAGUUGCCAUUAUUUUACUAGUCAUGGAAUGGGA
Molecule: long non-coding RNA, 86 nt
Organism: Sinocyclocheilus grahami
Lineage: Eukaryota; Metazoa; Chordata; Actinopteri; Cypriniformes; Cyprinidae
Exons: 3
Source: RefSeq, a predicted model, not a curated record